GGGGUUGUGGCUCAGCGGUAGAGCGCUUGCCUAGCAUGUGCAGGAGGCUGGGUUCAUUCCUCAGCACCA
Molecule: transfer RNA, 69 nt
Filed under: Marmota monax (woodchuck)
Lineage: Eukaryota; Metazoa; Chordata; Mammalia; Rodentia; Sciuridae
Rfam family: tRNA
About the family: Transfer RNA (tRNA) molecules are approximately 80 nucleotides in length. Their secondary structure includes four short double-helical elements and three loops (D, anti-codon, and T loops).
Source: Rfam by way of RNAcentral